RNAcentral lists this ribosomal RNA (397 nucleotides) under uncultured Glomus. Its description in RNAcentral is "SSU rRNA". It matches the Rfam family "Eukaryotic small subunit ribosomal RNA", at positions 569 to 969 of the family's 1831-position model. Lineage: Eukaryota; Fungi; Glomeromycota; Glomeromycetes; Glomerales; Glomeraceae. The record is from RNAcentral.
AGCAGCCGCGGUAAUUCCAGCUCCAAUAGCGUAUAUUAAAGUUGCUGCAAGUUAAAAAGCUCGUAGUUGAAUUUCGGGACCAUCAUGUCGGUCGUGCCUCGGUACGUACUGGCAUUGUCGAUUCCUACCUUCUGAAGAACCUCGAUGUCAUUAAUUUGGUGUCUUGGGGAAUCAGGACUGUUACUUUGAAAAAAUUAGAGUGUUUAAAGCAGGCUCGCGCUUGAAUACAUUAGCAUGGAAUAAUGAAAUAGGACGUUUGAUUCUAUUUUGUUGGUUUCUAGGAUCGACGUAAUGAUUAAUAGGGAUAGUUGGGGGCAUUAGUAUUCAAUUGUCAGAGGUGAAAUUCUUGGAUUUAUUGAAGACUAACUAACUGCGAAAGCAUUUGCCAAGGAUGUUU